GGCGGCAUAGCCAAGUGGUAAGGCACAGGUCUGCAAAACCUCCAUCAUCGGUUCGAUCCCGAUUGCCGCCU
RNAcentral lists this transfer RNA (71 nucleotides) under Peribacillus muralis. RNAcentral's name for it is "Bacillus muralis tRNA". It matches the Rfam family "tRNA". From Rfam's summary of the family: Transfer RNA (tRNA) molecules are approximately 80 nucleotides in length. The record is from Rfam by way of RNAcentral. Lineage: Bacteria; Bacillati; Bacillota; Bacilli; Caryophanales; Bacillaceae.